RNAcentral lists this non-coding RNA (117 nucleotides) under Bos taurus (domestic cattle). Its description in RNAcentral is "Eukaryotic small subunit ribosomal RNA". It matches the Rfam family "Eukaryotic small subunit ribosomal RNA", at positions 477 to 594 of the family's 1831-position model. RNAcentral also lists the same sequence under 1 other name. The record is from Rfam by way of RNAcentral. Lineage: Eukaryota; Metazoa; Chordata; Mammalia; Artiodactyla; Bovidae.
AUAACAAUAUAGGACUCUUUGAAGGGCCUGUAGUUGGAUUGAAUCCUUUAAAUCUUUUAUCAAGGAUAUAUUAGAGGCCAAGUCUGGUGCCACCAGCUGCUGUAACUCCAGCUCCAA